AAGAUUCUGGUUGACGGCGGGGCCGGUCUGAACUUGAUCUCACCCGUUGUGAUCAAAAGGCUGCAAAUUCCUGAUGGAGACCUCGAGGAAAAGGGCACGUUUCAAGGGGUCAACCCGGGAAGGAGCCAGCCGAAGGGGAAGGUCACAUUGCCUGUGACGUUUGGAGGCGAGUUGAACUACAUUACAGAGAGGAUUGUCUUCGAUGUAGCCGAGAUCCCCUUGCCCUACAAUGGGAUCCUCGGCCGCCCGACACUAGCCAAGUUCAUGGCGGUGUCGCACUACGCCUACAACACGCUGAAGAUGCCUGGGCCGAUGACCAUCAUCACCGUUCCCUGUGACAAGAAGGAUGCGUUGAUCUGCGCCGACCUACUCUACCGAGAAGCAGUUGCAGCAGCUGCCGCCAAGGCACUUGCUCCUGCCGCUGAAGCCUUGGGAGGGAAGAAGAAGACCGGCAAUACCUCUCGCGCCCACUCUGGCAAGCGCACCUCUUCGGAGUGUUGUGCUACCGUCGAGGACGUGCCAGGGAGCUCCACCGGCAAGAGCAAGAAAUCCAGAGCU
This 558-nucleotide ribosomal RNA is filed under the name Triticum aestivum (bread wheat). RNAcentral describes it as "partial small subunit ribosomal RNA". Lineage: Eukaryota; Viridiplantae; Streptophyta; Magnoliopsida; Poales; Poaceae. The record is from RNAcentral.